UACGUAGGGUCCAAGCGUUAUUCGGAAUCACUGGGCGUAAAGCGUGCGUAGGCUGUUCUGUAAGUUGGAAGUGAAAGCCCAAGGCUCAACCUUGGAAUUGCUCUCAAAACUACAGGACUCGAAUUCGGGAGAGGAUAGCGGAAUUGUCAGUGUAGCAGUGAAAUGCGUAGAUAUUGACAGGAACACCAGUGGCGUAAGCGGCUAUCUGGACCGACAUUGACGCUGAGGCACGAAAGCGUGGGGAUCAAAC
This 250-nucleotide ribosomal RNA is filed under the name uncultured bacterium. RNAcentral describes it as "partial 16S ribosomal RNA". It matches the Rfam family "Bacterial small subunit ribosomal RNA", at positions 524 to 773 of the family's 1533-position model. The record is from RNAcentral.